GACGAACGCUGGCGGCGUGCUUAAUACAUGCAAGUCAACUGAACUUUAGGUAGCAAUAUUUAAAGGGAGGUGGCGCACGGGUGAGUAACACGUAGGUAAUCUGCCUUCAGGACUGACAUAAUUCCGCGAAAGCGGGACUAAAAUCAGAUGAUGCAGCGGCUCGACAUCAAGACAGUUGUUAAACCCUUCGGGGCCUGAAGAUGAGCCUGCGUCUGAUUAGGUAGUUGGCGGGGGUAAAAGCCCACCAAGCCUGCGAUCAGUAGCUGGUCUGAGAGGAUGAUCAGCCACACUGGAACUGAGACACGGUCCAGACUCCUACGGGAGGCAGCAGUAAGGAAUAUUGCUCAAUGGCCGAAAAGGCUGAAGCAGCAACGCCGCGUGGAGGAUGAAAUACUUUAGUAUGUAAACUCCUGUAAGAGGGGAAAAAUAUACAGCUAUGCUGUGUUGAUUGUACCCUCAGAGUAAGCACCGGCUAACUACGUGCCAG
This 487-nucleotide ribosomal RNA is filed under the name uncultured bacterium. RNAcentral describes it as "bacterial SSU rRNA". It matches the Rfam family "Bacterial small subunit ribosomal RNA", at positions 28 to 511 of the family's 1533-position model. The record is from RNAcentral.